CAGAGGCACAGGAACUGAAACUGAAGAAAAUAUCUGUGGGAUUCCACAGAGGCGGAAGCUGCCGCUGGUCUGCACGUGUGAAUUUUGCCAGCGCUUUUAGGUGGCCUAGAAUGAAAGUCUGGUGCUUGUUAAUAAUGAAAGUUGAACCUAAAAUUGGCCACGUUCGAAUUCCCAAUGCCUAGCAAAUUGGAGUAUGAGGACUUAAGGCAGAAAAGAGGGGCAAAACCAGGCAAAAGAAUGUGUGGGGUCACGUUCAGCUCAUGCAUCCAGAGGAGCAAACAGGCUGCGUUUCCUCGGAGGCAGGUAAAAGGCACCGGCUCUGUGCAGUGUAUUGGCCUGGCAUGGGCCUGGCCCUACUUUCUGCUCUGCGAUCUGCCAAAUGCAACAGGGCUACAA
Molecule: long non-coding RNA, 396 nt
Filed under: Struthio camelus australis
Lineage: Eukaryota; Metazoa; Chordata; Aves; Struthioniformes; Struthionidae
Description: lncRNA (ENSSCUG00000016686.1)
Source: RNAcentral